GUAAUAGCCCACACCCACCUCUGGAGCCUGAGAUGGAAGUGGUGGCUCACACCUGGCCCCAGAGUGCAUGUAGGUGGUAUCCCAUUGCCUCAGAGAUGUGCAUGUGGGAGACAGAAGCUCCUAUGAGUUGCGCCCCUCCCCUCACAUACUCCCUCAACAGUGGCACCUCGCCUCUCUGGUGGGCCCAGGCUUCUUCUACGUAUACACUUGGUUACAGCCAUGCCACAAUUUAGCUUCUUCAGGGUGUGUACAUGCAGCCAACCCCAAUCCUCUCCCCAGGUCUGAUCUUCAAGGCCUUAUCUUCAGCACCCAGCCCCCACCUGCACUGGGGAUGAAAGUCCCAGCCUUGGGAGCACAGUAUAGUGACACCAAUUACCUGUGCAAGUUUUUCUCCAUUUUGCCUUCUGUAAACCAGUUAUUUCACUCUCCUCCAAGACCCUGAAGUUCCUCCUUCAUUCUGGCUAAUUUCUUCACCAGUGAGGGGACUUCCCAGGGUUGCGGGAACAUUUCCUUUUUCAUAGCUUCCUCCCAGGGGUGCAAGUCACAUCCCAAUUCUUUCUCUUUUUCUUUUUUCUUUUGUCUACUCAGUUAUGUGGAGAUUUUCUUGCCUUUUCGUAAGUCCCAGGUCUUCUGCCCAUGUUCAGUGGAUGUUCUGUGAGAAUCUUUCCACAUGUAGAUAUAUCCUUGAUAUAUUUGUGGAAGGAGAUGAGCUCCACAUCCCAUGCUUCCACUAGCUUGAUCUCUCUAUCCCACAGGUAUUGAAUCAAUGUGUUUUUGUUUUCAAUAGUAUCUAUGCAUUUAUUUCCUCUUUGCUUUUUCAAUGGUCCAUUGAUCUUUUAGUAGUAUAUUGUUUAGUCUCUGUGUGUGUGUGCACGCGUGUGUGUGUGUAUAGUUGAUUUAUAAUCUCAUAGUGUUAUGAUCAGAAAAGAUGUAUGAUUUGAUUUCAAGGCUUACUUUGUGACCUAGCAUGUGAUCUAUCUUGGAGAUUGUUCCAAGUGCAUUUGAAAAAAUGUGAAAUCUCUGGCUCUUGCAUGGAAUCCUCUAUAAGUAACAAUGAAGUCUAACUGGUCUAAUGCCUGUGUUUAUUGAUUUUCUAUUUGUAUAAUCUGUCCAUUGAUAUAAGCAAAAUGUUAAAGACCCCCACAAUAUUUGUAUUACUGUUGAAUUUUCUUUUUGUGGAUGUUAGCAUUUGCGUUAUACAUUGAGGUAGUCUUAUGCUGGGUGCAAAUAUUUUUUACAAUUGUUAUAUCUCCUAUAUCUUCUUCUUGGAUUGAUCCCUUGAUCAUUAUGUAGCGUCCUUCUUUGUCUCUUGUAAGAGUCUUUGUUUUAAAGCCUAUUUUGUCUUAUAUGGGUAUUGCUACUCCAGAUUUCCUUUUAUUUCCAUUUCCAUCCCUUCAGUAUUGGUCUGUGUCCCCAGAGCUGAAAUGAGCCUCUUCGUAGACUGCAUAUAUAUGGGUCUCGUUUUUAUAUCCAUUCAGCUAGUCUGUAUCUUUUUGUUGGAGCAUUUAAUCUGUUUACAUUUAAGGUAAGUAAUAUGUGUUCUUGUUGCCAUUUUGUUAACUUUUUAGGAUUUGUUUUUUUCAGUCUUUUUACCCUUACUCUUUUGUUCUUUUCUCUUGUGAUUUGAUGAAUAUCUUUAGUGUUGUGUUUGGAUUCCUUUUUCUUUGUGUGUGUGUGUAUAUUUAUUAUUUAUUUUUGGUUACCACAAGGUUUGACAUAGCAGUUUAUUUAUAUGCAAGAUUGUUUGAAGUUGCUGGGCUCUUACUUUCAAGCACUUCCAAUGCUCUGCAUUUGUACUCUCUUCUCAUGAUGGCUAGUUUUGAUAUAAUAUUUGUGUGUGGAUGAUUUCCCAUCUUUACUGUAUUUUUGACUUUACUGGUUAGCUUUCCCAUUUUGUAAUUUUCUUGCUUCUAGUUGUGUGUUUUCUUUUCCACCUAGAGAAGUUCCUUUAAUAAUUAUCAUAAAGGUUCUUUAGUGGAGCUGAAUUAUUUUAGUUUUUGCUUGUCUGUAAACCUUUUUAUUUCUUCACAUCUUAAAGAGACCCUUACUAUGUGGAGUAUUCUUGGUGUUGAAGUUUUUUCCCUUUCACCACUUUAAAUAAUUCAUGCCACUCCCUCUGGCCUACAGAGUUUCUCCUAAAAAUUAGCUCACAACCUUUGGAGGAGUCCCCUUUAUGUUAUUUAUUAUUUUUCCCUCAUUGCUUUUAAUAUUUUCUCUUUGUCUUAAUUCUUGUCAACUUGAUAAAUAUGUGUCUGAGCAUAUUCCUCCUUGGCUUUAUCCUGUAUGGAAUGCUCAGCAUUCCUGGACUUGAAUGAGUGAUUCCUUUCCCAUGUUAGGGAAGGUUUGGGCUAUUAUCUCCUCAAAUAUUUUAUCCAGGCUCUUUCUCUCUUCUCCUCUGGGACCCCUAUAACACAUACGCUGGUGCUUUUAAUGUUGUCCCAGAGGUCUCUCAAACAAUCCUCAUUCUUUUCAUUCUUUUUUUAUUCUGUCCCACAGCAGCGAUUUCAACCAUUCUUUCUUCCAUCUCACUAACCUAUUUUUCAUUUAUUCUGCUAUUUAUUUCUUCUAGAGUUUUUUUUUUCAUUUUGGUUAUGUAUUCCUCUCUGUCUGUUCUUUAAAUCUUCUAGCUCUUUGUUGAACAUUUCUUGUAUUUUCUCAGUCUGUGUCUCCAUUCUUUUUAUGAGAUCUUGGAUCAUGUUUCCUAUCAUUACUCUAAAUUCUUUUUUGGGCAGAUUGCCUAGCUUCACUUUAUUUAGUUGUUCUUCUGGAGUUUUAUCUUGUUCCUCUAGAUAAUAUUCUUCUGUCAUCUCAUUUUGUCUAAAUUUUUGUGUUUGUAGUUUCAUUUUCAUAGGCUUCAGGACUGUAGAUCCUCUUGCUUCUGGUGUCUGCCCCUUGAUGGGUGAGACUGGUCUAGAAGCUCAUGCUGUCUUCCUGGUGGGAGGGAUUGGAGCCUGCCCAGUGGUGGGUGGGGCUGGGUCUUGUCCCUCUGAUUGACAAGGCCAUGUCAAGGGGUAUGUUUAGAGGCAGCUAUGAGCCCAGGAAUACUUUUGGCAACAUGUCUCCUGAGGAGUGGAGCAGUGUUCCUUCCCUGUUAUUUGUUUGGCCUGGGCAUCUCACACUGGAGCUACAGGCUCUUGGUUGGGGGCAUGCCAAAAUGGUGACCUCCAUGAGAUCCCAUGCUGAUGAGUAUCCCUAGGAUAUCCACCACCAGUGUCCUUGUCCCCACAGUGAGUUACAGUCUCCCCCCACCUCUUCAGGAGACCAUGCAAGACCACCAGUUAUGUCUUGUCAGGUUCCUACAGAGCAGAGUCACUGCUUUGCCCUGGGUCCCAGUGCACAUGAAGACUUGUAUGCACCCUCCAAGAGUGGACUCUCUGUUUUUCCCAGCCCUGUGGAGCUCCUGCACUCAAGCCCUACUGGUUUUCAAAGUCAAAUGCUCCAGGGGCUCCUCCUCCUCCUGACAACAGACCCCCAGCCUGGGAAGCCUGCUGUGGAGCUCAGAACAUUCAUUCCUUUGGGAUAAGCUGUGCAAUAUCAUAAUUUUCUAGUUUGUAGGUCACUCACCCACCUGGCGAGUAUGAGAUUUUAUUAUAUUGUGUAUGUGACCCUCCUACUGUCUCAUUGUGGCUUCUUUGUCUGGAUGUAGAAUAUAUUUUUGGUAGGAUCCAGUCUUUUUUGUUGAUGGUUGUCCAGCAGUUAGUUGUGAUUUUGAUAUUUUUGUGAGAGGACGAGUGCUCAGGGUCCUUUUACUCUGCCAUCUUGUCUCCCCCAUCCUCUUCAGUUUGUUAAUGUUGUGUAUCACACAGAUUGAUUUACAGCUAUUGAAAAAUCCUUGCAUUCCUGGAAUAAAUACCACUUAACCAUUGUAUACCAUUCCUUUAUUGUAUUAUUAGAUUCAGUUUGCUAGUAUUUUGUUAAGGAUGUUUUGCAUUAAUGUUCAUCAGUGAUAUUGGCCUGGAAUUUUCUUUUUGUGCAGUAUCUUUGUCUGUUUUUGGUAUCUAUGUGAUGUUAGCUCAAAGAAUGAGUUUGACGGUGUUCCUUCCUCUGCAAUUCUCUUGGAGGAGUUUAAAAAGGAUAGAUGUUAACUCUUCUCUAAGUGUUUGAUAGAAUUCAUCUGUGAAGCCAUCUGAGCUAGGGCCCUGAGUCUUUGUGGAGUUCUACCCUCCUGUUUGCAUGUUUUACUGAGGGUUUUACUGAGCAUUUACUACCUGCUACUCAUCAAACCCAGUCUGCAUAAUGUUGUCAUUGUAGUGGACCAGGUGAUGUGUCAUGGGAUAGCAAGAUAUAUGUAUGUGUUUUCAGUCACUUCCACAUAGAGUUGACCAAGGCCAACCAUUCUUGUGUAGGAAUAACAUUCAAGACUCACUGUGCCUACUUUGAACAUUGUAAAACAAAAGCACAUGAACAGAUACCACACACAAAGUGAAUGUUGGCCACUGGUCCUAGAAGUGAGUGAACAGUGGAAAGUGAGGGAGGAAGAAGCAAAAUGUAAAACCUGCAAAGGCAGAAGCUAAUCUGUGGAAAUUUCUUACAAUCAUUACACAUGCAUAUCUGUAAGUAGAGGAUUUAACUAUCAUAAAUUUUAGUCCAAUGGAAAUUCUCUUUAUAUUUGAUAAUGAAGCAUGUACAAUUACAAAGCACCAUACUAUUUUUUUCUUUUUUGAUUGGAAUCAGAUAAAUAGAAUUAAUAAGAAUUCCUUUUAUUGUAGGGUAUAGAUCUAUAGAAGUAUUACACAGAGCACAAGUAUUUUUCUAUGAAAUCUCAUGUUUUAUGCAAUCCAUCUAAUGAUAAUAAAUAAAUGUUUUUCAACUACAUAGGAAAAAAUGCAUUUUGUUUCUAUUUUCUCUACUAGAAUUAUAACAAAGUGUUUGUCAUUUGGAGGGGAAAACCAAGGGUAUGGAAGCAGCUAAUUGAUUUUUUAAAAAUUGUUACUUGUCUAAGUUUUCUGAUGCUUAUGGUAUUUGUCACCCUUUUAAAAUUUUUUUUAAAUUUUUUUUAUUUUCUUCAUUCAUUCUGGAUACAUAUCCACUUUUGUAUUUGACUCUAUAUUGAUAAUUUUGUGAAUUUCUAUUUAAAAGUAUAUAAGCUUCAGGUCCACCCAAACUCAGAGCCAUUCUUGUGUAGGUGAAACAUACAAAGAUGUUCUUGUUACACCAAACCAAAUUUGAUGACUUAAUUCUAUUUUUUUUUUUUGUCUUUUCUAGGGCCGCACCCACAGCAUAUGGAGGUUCCCAGGCUAGGGGUCUAAUCAGAGCUGUACCCAGAGCCACAGCAACAUGGGAUCCAUGCAACCUACACCACAGCUUACCACAAUGCUGGAUCCUUAACUGAGCAAGACCAGGGAUCAAACCCACAACCUCAUGGUUCCUAGUCAGAUUCAUUAACCACUGAGCCAUGACAGGAACUCCUGAUAACUUAUUUCUUACACAUGUUUAAAAUCACACAAUCUUUAGAUACUAAUAUGACAUUUGUGCUUUUUUAAUCCUGAAACAGUAAACACAAGUCUAAGACUUCUAAUUAUUAUAGAAAUACAACAUUCCAUCAACAGACUUUUCAUUGAAACUAACAAAAACAAUAGUCUUGGCAUUUGCUAAGUUCCUUAUGUUAUGGUGUUACAUUUAUCAAAUAUAAAAUUUAAACUUGAUUAAAACUGAAACUAAAAAAUAUUUGUGUUCUCAAUUUUACCUCAGGACUCCACAAACAAGCCUAUAUGCCUUUUAGUUACUUAUUUGCAUAUUUAUUAUAAUACUUUCCCAGAAGAUGGCAGUAAAGAGUCUAGUUCUAAAUCAAUUUGUAUAUUACAACAAUUUCUGACCAAUGAAAAUAAAAUGCCUUGAGAAUAGGGAUUUUUUUUUUUUUGUCUGAUUUACACAAAUGCACUCUAUGGGCUAAGAAUCCUGCCAAACUGUUUCAGUUAUAAGAAUUCUAACCUAAAUUCCGUGCAUAUUUAGUUCUAUGAGUCUGAUAUCUUGUAAGGCUUCUCAGAGUUGGAGAUUACCUUACCUUGAAUCACCUUGUAGGAGAGAGGAUACAUAUUAGAAGCAGCAUGUUUUGUUUUCAGGCAGGACUUUGUUGUAUCCCUGAUGAAGGGGUAUUUUUCUGGAUCAAGUUACUGUAACUCUUGGAAAAAACUAAUCAAUUAGACAUUAAUGGUUGGUAAUUCUCAACGAAAACAUUCACUGAGUAAAGUUAAAAAUAUUCAAGACAAUCUUAUUUAACUGUGAUAUCAAUUUAUACCUAAUAUUCAUCUUACUUAAAGGUCUAGUUUUCCUUUUCAUCUAUGUAUUUAUAUAUAUAUAUGAUUAUAUGUGUGGUUAUAUUUCCACAUAUAGAAAUUUAGUUAUCAGAUAUGUGGUUUAGAAACCUAGAAUUUUCACAUGUUAAAAAAGGAAUGGAUGGUCCUAUAAAAAUCAAUGUUUGUAUGGCAUUAUUGUAAGCAAAGAAGUAAGAUAAAAUGAGUAGAAAAUCAGCACUGACAAACAGCAGGAAUGGCUUACAGGUUGAGAUUUAAGAUACUAUGUAUAGCUGGCAGUUUUGACAAUAAAGCUGGAAACAAAUAUGAAUAGUAUAAAGGCUUAGACACUAACCUUAGCUGAAAAGACCAUAUAUGGAUGUGCAGUAUUACUCUUUUAAGUAAAGAUUAACAAAUGUUGUUCCAUUUUUUAGCUGCAUAAGAUACCCAUACAUUGGGUAUAGCAUCUGCUGGCCUGAAAUUCUUGACAGAUUAGACUAACCCUAAGUCUCACUUCAAGCUAAGAAGCAUUAAAAUCCACAUUAAAAACAUUUGACAGGUGGAGCACCUCCAUGUUAAGUGAUUUUCCUUGUGCUGUAAAAAUCUAAGAUUGGUACAAAUUAGACUGUUUGUACUUAAUUUUCAUCUUUGACUAAAAACUUUAAAAGUUUAAAGAAUCUAUUUGCCAUUGAUUCAGUCUGUCAGUCAAUAAGACAGGCUUUCUUUGGGGAAUUCUCUCCUCUUUCACUGCUCUUCUGUGAUUCUGCACCACACGGGAUUCUUAAACAUCAAAAAAAAAAAA
RNAcentral lists this long non-coding RNA (7035 nucleotides) under Sus scrofa (pig). RNAcentral describes it as "lncRNA (ENSSSCG00040043611.1)". The record is from RNAcentral. Lineage: Eukaryota; Metazoa; Chordata; Mammalia; Artiodactyla; Suidae.